Molecule: ribosomal RNA, 546 nt
Filed under: uncultured bacterium
Lineage: Bacteria
Description: bacterial LSU rRNA
Rfam family: Bacterial large subunit ribosomal RNA
Source: RNAcentral
UCUGCAAACACGAAAGUGGACGUAUAGGGUGUGACGCCCUGCCCCGGUGCCGGAAGGUUAAGUGAUGGGGUGCAAGCUCUUGAUCGAAGCCCCGGUAAACGGCGGCCGUAACAAUAACGGUCCUAAGGUAGCGAAAUUCCUUGUCGGGUAAGUUCCGACCUGCACGAAUGGCGUAACGAUGGCCACACUGUCUCCUCCUGAGACUCAGCGAAGUUGAAGUGUUUGUGAAGAUGCAAUCUACCCGCGGCUAGACGGAAAGACCCCAUGAACCUUUACUGUAGCUUUGCAUUGGACUUUGACGGGACUUGUGUAGGAUAGGUGGGAGGCGAUGAGACCGGGACGCUAGUUCCGGUGGAGCCGUCCUUGAAAUACCACCCUGGUGUCGUUGAGGUUCUAACCUAGGUCCAUCAUCUGGAUCGGGGACCGUGCAUGGUAGGCAGUUUGACUGGGGCGGUCUCCUCCCAAAAGGUAACGGAGGAGUACGAAGGUCUUCUAGGUACGGUCGGACAUCGUACUGAUAGUGCAAUGGCAAAAGAAGGCUUGACU